This 163-nucleotide non-coding RNA is filed under the name Pongo abelii (Sumatran orangutan). The record is from RNAcentral. Lineage: Eukaryota; Metazoa; Chordata; Mammalia; Primates; Hominidae.
GAGAGCGAGCCUGGGAGAAUGAGUUAAACAAUUGCCCAUUUUGGGUGCAUUGGAAGAGGUGAGAUAAGAUGGUGAUUCAUUUUCCCAUGCCACUUGGCUGAACUGGCCUCCAAAAUUUCCUGUCCUGGAAUAUUUGAGGGUAGAUUGAACUUUGAAUACACUU